This 496-nucleotide ribosomal RNA is filed under the name uncultured bacterium. RNAcentral's name for it is "partial 16S ribosomal RNA". It matches the Rfam family "Bacterial small subunit ribosomal RNA", at positions 28 to 506 of the family's 1533-position model. The record is from RNAcentral.
GAUGAACGCUGGCGGCGUGCCUAAUACAUGCAAGUCGAGCGAACGGACGAGAAGCUUGCUUCUCUGAUGUUAGCGGCGGACGGGUGAGUAACACGUGGAUAACCUACCUAUAAGACUGGGAUAACUUCGGGAAACCGGAGCUAAUACCGGAUAAUAUUUUGAACCGCAUGGUUCAAAAGUGAAAGACGGUCUUGCUGUCACUUAUAGAUGGAUCCGCGCUGCAUUAGCUAGUUGGUAAGGUAACGGCUUACCAAGGCAACGAUGCAUAGCCGACCUGAGAGGGUGAUCGGCCACACUGGAGCUGAGACACGGUCCAGACUCAUAGGGGAGGCAGAAGUAGGGAAUCGUCCGCAAUGGGCGAAAGCCUGACGGAGCAACGCCGCGUGAGUGAUGAAGGUCUUCGGAUCGUAAAACUCUGUUAUUAGGGAAGAACAUAUGUGUAAGUAACGGUGCACAUCUGGACGGUACCUAAUCAGAAAGCCACGGCUAACUACGG